GCUAGAGGCCCGGGGCAAACUAGAGCUUCUAACUCAAGUUAGGAGGUUCGACUCCUCCAUCUAACU
This 66-nucleotide transfer RNA is filed under the name Boccardiella hamata. RNAcentral's name for it is "tRNA-Ser". Lineage: Eukaryota; Metazoa; Annelida; Polychaeta; Spionida; Spionidae. The record is from RNAcentral.